Molecule: non-coding RNA, 30 nt
Filed under: Rattus norvegicus (Norway rat)
Lineage: Eukaryota; Metazoa; Chordata; Mammalia; Rodentia; Muridae
Source: RNAcentral
UAAUUACACAUAUUUAAUUACACAAGGAUC